RNAcentral lists this non-coding RNA (31 nucleotides) under Homo sapiens (human). The record is from RNAcentral. Lineage: Eukaryota; Metazoa; Chordata; Mammalia; Primates; Hominidae.
UCAUGCCGCGAAGUGGCCUUUCCUAGCCUAA